GGGGAUGGAGCUCAGUGGUAGAGCUCUUGCUUUGCAUGCAUGAAGCCCUGGGUUCCAUCCCCAGCACCA
This 69-nucleotide transfer RNA is filed under the name Heterocephalus glaber (naked mole-rat). It matches the Rfam family "tRNA". From Rfam's summary of the family: Transfer RNA (tRNA) molecules are approximately 80 nucleotides in length. Their secondary structure includes four short double-helical elements and three loops (D, anti-codon, and T loops). The record is from Rfam by way of RNAcentral. Lineage: Eukaryota; Metazoa; Chordata; Mammalia; Rodentia; Bathyergidae.